This 317-nucleotide unclassified non-coding RNA is filed under the name Hevea brasiliensis (rubber tree). The record is from RNAcentral. Lineage: Eukaryota; Viridiplantae; Streptophyta; Magnoliopsida; Malpighiales; Euphorbiaceae.
GCCUUAAGCAUAGCAUCUCUGUUUCCAGAAUCUUUAUCAUCCACAUGAUUUGGAGCUGCUAGCUUGAAUCCAUUCUGCAGAAUAUCUUGAGAAUCAGACAGUGACUUAUUCAUCCGAGAAACAGCAUUUGCAAACUCCUUAUACUUCUGGAGUUGGGCAAGUCCAUUAUUGAUUUGUUGAGGAUCUAUACGCAAAUGCAAUGGUUUUGCAGUUGGCACAGGAUGCUCAGUGUGGAGAUCAAGAUUACUUUGAAUAAAUUUUUCAGCAGAUUCUGUAAUUGUCUUCUGUUCAGAAAUAUCAGAAUGAGAAUGAGAAAU